UGAUGUAGAAUUAUUAAAAUCUUUAUUAGAACCUGUAUUGAAUUAUUGUACUAACUCCAUUUUGUUCACCUUACAUGACAGAAUUUCCUGACAGUAUUCAGUAUAAUGAAUAAGAGAUUGUAUUCUCUCUCUAAGGACAUAACUAGCCCCGGAGUUAGCGGAUCUCCGUUGACUUGCAACAUAGUAUAAUCCAAGGCCAGGAGAACAGUGACAAAAUGAAAUGUUCUAUUCAUAAAAGAACCUUGGAACAGACCACGAGACUGACAUCACUAACUACGUAAAAUGACGCCCAAGCCCCCCUUUCCACC
Non-coding RNA from Pelobates cultripes (western spadefoot toad), 308 nucleotides. The record is from the annotation of a GenBank genome assembly. Lineage: Eukaryota; Metazoa; Chordata; Amphibia; Anura; Pelobatidae.